GAUGAACGCUGGCGGCGUGCCUAAUACAUGCAAGUCGAGCGAACGGACGAGAAGCUUGCUUCUCUGAUGUUAGCGGCGGACGGGUGAGUAACACGUGGAUAACCCACCUAUAAGACUGGGAUAACUUCGGGAAACCGGAGCUAAUACCGGAUAAUAUUUUGAACCGCAUGGUUCAAAAGUGAAAGACGGUCUUGCUGUCACUUAUAGAUGGAUCCGCGCUGCAUUAGCUAGUUGGUAAGGUAACGGCUUACCAAGGCAACGAUGCAUAGCCGACCUGAGAGGGUGAUCGGCCACACUGGAACUGAGACACGGUCCAGACUCCUACGGGAGGCAGCAGUGGGGAAUCUUCCGCAAUGGGCGAAAGCCUGACGGAGCAACGCCGCGUGAGUGAUGAAGGUCUUCGGAUCGUAAAACUCUGUUAUUAGGGAAGAACAUAUGUGUAAGUAACUGUGCACAUCUUGACGGUACCUAAUCAGAAAGCCACGGCUAACUACGUG
This 497-nucleotide ribosomal RNA is filed under the name uncultured bacterium. Its description in RNAcentral is "partial 16S ribosomal RNA". It matches the Rfam family "Bacterial small subunit ribosomal RNA", at positions 28 to 507 of the family's 1533-position model. The record is from RNAcentral.